GUGGGGAAUAUUGCGCAAUGGGCGAAAGCCUGACGCAGCGACGCCGCGUGAGGGAUGAAGGUUUUCGGAUCGUAAACCUCUGUCAGAAGGGAAGAAACUACAUUGUGCUAAUCAGCAGUGUACUGACGGUACCUUCAAAGUAAGCACCGGCUAACUCCGUGCCAGCAGCCGCGGUAAUACGGAGGGUGCAAGCGUUAAUCGGAAUUACUGGGCGUAAAGCGCACGUAGGCUGUAGUGUAAGUCAGGGGUGAAAUCACACGGCUCAACCGUGGAACUGCCUUUGAUACUGCACAACUUGAAUCCGGGAGAGGGUGGCGGAAUUCCAGGUGUAGGAGUGAAAUCCGUAGAUAUCCGGAGGAACACCGGUGGCGAAGGCGGCCACCUGGACAGGUACUGACGCUGAGGCGCGAAAGCGUGGGGAGCAAACAGGAUUAGAAACCCUGGUAGUCC
RNAcentral lists this ribosomal RNA (450 nucleotides) under uncultured bacterium. Its description in RNAcentral is "partial 16S ribosomal RNA". It matches the Rfam family "Bacterial small subunit ribosomal RNA", at positions 354 to 796 of the family's 1533-position model. The record is from RNAcentral.